This 552-nucleotide ribosomal RNA is filed under the name uncultured Streptococcus sp. RNAcentral's name for it is "bacterial SSU rRNA". It matches the Rfam family "Bacterial small subunit ribosomal RNA", at positions 29 to 544 of the family's 1533-position model. Lineage: Bacteria; Bacillati; Bacillota; Bacilli; Lactobacillales; Streptococcaceae. The record is from RNAcentral.
GACGAACGCUGGCGGCGUGCUUAACACAUGCAAGUCGAACGGUGAAGGGACCAGCUUGCUGGUUCUGGAUGAGUGGCGAACGGGUGAGUAACACGUGAGUAACCUGCCCCCUUCUUCUGGAUAACCGUAUGAAAGUGUGGCUAAUACGGGAUAUUCUGGGUCUGUCGCAUGAUGGGCCCGGGAAAGAUAUUGUUUCGGUGGGGGAUGGGCUCGCGGCCUAUCAGCUUGUUGGUGGGGUGAUGGCCUACCAAGGCGGUGACGGGUAGCCGGCCUGAGAGGGUGGACGGUCACACUGGGACUGAGACACGGCCCAGACUCCUACGGGAGGCAGCAGUGGGGAAUAUUGCACAAUGGGCGCAAGCCUGAUGCACCGCCGCCGCGUGAGGGAUGGAGGCCCUCGGGUUGUAAACCUCUUUCGCCAGUGAAGCAGGCCUGCUCCGUGUCGUGGGUUGACAUAUCUAGACCCCACCAUCCCCUACCCCGUGCACUGUCGCUCCAUCCUUAAGCGUUGUAUUCUCCCGAACCUUCCUUCUAUUCCUCUUUAGCCCUGGU